This 732-nucleotide long non-coding RNA is filed under the name Dasypus novemcinctus (nine-banded armadillo). RNAcentral describes it as "lncRNA (ENSDNOG00000052788.1)". The record is from RNAcentral. Lineage: Eukaryota; Metazoa; Chordata; Mammalia; Cingulata; Dasypodidae.
UCGGGGACUUUCCAGUUUAUCUGAACUGUCCUAAAAGCAGCUUUCCACCCAUCUGCCCACCCAGAAGCUGAGCUGUCCCGGAACCUGGAUGAACUUCAAACUGAUCUGAGCAACUUCAAGUCCAAGAGUGAGGCUUGGGAGGGGAUGGGGGGAGCAACCAGGAAAGGGCCCUACAAGUCCAUCUGUUAACACUAACCCUAACCUCCCCGUUCACCCAAGGCUUGAAUGAGAGGCGCACAGACAAAGACUCACUGGACAGACUCCAGGAAGAGGUGAUGAGGUUGCAGAUAGAGCUACGGGAGUUGAACGGUAAAAGCAUUCCUGCAUUCACCAUCACUGGUUUCUCUUUGCUCCCCUGUCCUCCACCCAGCAUGGCUUCACAGAGGGACAACAGUAGGAUUCCCUUAACCAUGACCCUCUGGAAGACCGAGCUUGCCUGGGGGCAGGAGAGGGGGACCCCUGCAGUCAAAGGGUGAUGGUGAUGACGCUGGCAUCUUCCCUGGGGGUGGCAGAGAUGGAGGUGGUGUUGGUGGUUGUGAGGGUCACAUGGUGGCACCCAGAGGUUGCACAAAGACCAGAUUGUGCCUUUAACCUUGAGUAGGAACCUGAGCUGUACAGCCUUUCGGUGGCUUUUUUGCAUGUCCUGUGGUCCGACCCCUUGGUUUCUGACCUCCCUCCUCUGGGAAGUCCCAGCUGCCCCAAUUAGGUAAGAGAAGAGGAAGGAUCUCUGCU